This 679-nucleotide ribosomal RNA is filed under the name uncultured bacterium. Its description in RNAcentral is "bacterial SSU rRNA". It matches the Rfam family "Bacterial small subunit ribosomal RNA", at positions 8 to 719 of the family's 1533-position model. The record is from RNAcentral.
AGAGUUUGAUCCUGGCUCAGAACGAACGCUGGCGGCAGGCCUAACACAUGCAAGUCGAACGAAGGCCCGGAGCUUGCUCCGGAUACCUUAGUGGCGGACGGGUGAGGAACACGUGGGAACCUGCCCUUCAGUACGGGAUAACGCCGGGAAACUGGUGCUAAUACCGAAUACGCCCUACGGGGGAAAGAUUUAUCGCUGAAGGAUGGGCCCGCGCCGGAUUAGCUAGUUGGUGAGGUAACGGCUCACCAAGGCAACGAUCCGUAGCUGGUUUGAGAGGAUGAUCAGCCACACUGGGACUGAGACACGGCCCAGACUCCUACGGGAGGCAGCAGUGGGGAAUAUUGGACAAUGGGGGCAACCCUGAUCCAGCCAUGCCGCGUGAGUGAUGGAGGCCUUAGGGUUGUAAAGCUCUUUCAGCGGGGAAGAUGAUGACGGUACCCGCAGAAGAAGCCCCGGCUAACUCCGUGCCAGCAGCCGCGGUAAUACGGAGGGGGCAAGCGUUGUUCGGAAUUACUGGGCGUAAAGCGCGCGUAGGCGGUUUGUUUAGUUAGGCGUGAAAGCCCUGGGCUCAACCCAGGAACUGCGUUUGAUACUGGCAGACUAGAGUCCGGGAGAGGAGAGUGGAAUUCCCAGUGUAGAGGUGAAAUUCGUAGAUAUUGGGAAGAACACCAGUGGCGAA